CCUACGGGAGGCAGCAGUGGGGAAUAUUGCGCAAUGGGCGAAAGCCUGACGCAGCGACGCCGCGUGAGGGAUGAAGGUCUUCGGAUCGUAAACCUCUGUCAGCAGGGAAGAACGGUCACUGUGCUAAUCACCAGUGAAUUGACGGUACCUGCAAAGGAAGCACCGGCUAACUCCGUGCCAGCAGCCGCGGUAAUACGGAGGGUGCGAGCGUUAAUCGGAAUUACUGGGCGUAAAGCGCUCGUAGGCGGGAUGUCAAGUCAAGGGGGAAAUCCCCGCGCUCAACGUGGGAACUGCCUUUGAAACUGGCAAACUGGAGUGUGUGAGAGGAUAGUGGAAUUCGAGGUGUAGGAGUGAAAUCCGUAGAUAUCUGGAGGAACAUCAGUGGCGAAGGCGACUAUCUGGCACAUAACUGACGCUGAGGAGCGAAAGCGUGGGUAGCAAACAGGAUUAGAUACCCCUGUAGUC
This 465-nucleotide ribosomal RNA is filed under the name uncultured bacterium. RNAcentral describes it as "partial 16S ribosomal RNA". It matches the Rfam family "Bacterial small subunit ribosomal RNA", at positions 338 to 795 of the family's 1533-position model. The record is from RNAcentral.